AGGUUGAGGUUUAAAUACAAUCUCAUGUUGAGGUUCAUCAAAUACAACAUAUUCAGACUCAAUAGUAGGUUGACUCUGAGUCUGUUGUUCUGAAGGACUAGAGGGUUAAGAUUCAAAGGGAGAAGGGUCAGCAACGUAAAAUUAUUGGGGUGUGACUAACAGAGGUGUUUGAUUGGAUUAGUUAUAGGGUAAUUCAUUAAUUAGAUGCUCUGAGAGAGCUUCUAGCUAGUGAAUGGCUCAUAGAUUCUCUGAAUUUGGUUUAGGUCAAUUAAUUCUGGGACGGUUGUAUGUUGAGUGGGGAAAAUUAUAGGUUGGUAUUUUAUGAUAGGUAGGUUGUUUGGUAGAUGGGGAAAAUCUGUGUUCAUAGGAUUUAGAGGAUGAAAGGGUUGGGGAUUGCCUAAGUAAU
Molecule: long non-coding RNA, 406 nt
Filed under: Lathyrus oleraceus (garden pea)
Lineage: Eukaryota; Viridiplantae; Streptophyta; Magnoliopsida; Fabales; Fabaceae
Description: Pisum sativum (pea) long non-coding RNA (PSAT_LNC012688)
Source: RNAcentral